GCCGCUCAUACUAACCCUCUCAGAAUCGGUAGAGCGUGAGACUCUUACCUGCAAAGCGUGAUCUCAAGGUUGCGGGUUCGACCCCCGCAUUGGGCU
This 96-nucleotide transfer RNA is filed under the name Venturia effusa. Its description in RNAcentral is "tRNA-Lys". Lineage: Eukaryota; Fungi; Ascomycota; Dothideomycetes; Venturiales; Venturiaceae. The record is from RNAcentral.